GACGAACGCUGGCGGCGUGCUUAACACAUGCAAGUCGAACGGUGAAGCGCCUUCCUUUUUGGUGGGUGUGGAUGAGUGGCGAACGGGUGAGUAACACGUGAGUAACCUGCCCCCUUCUUCUGGAUAACCGCAUGAAAGCGUGGCUAAUACGGGAUAUUCUGGGUCUGUCGCAUGAUGGGUCUGGGAAAGAUAUUGUUUCGGUGGGGGAUGGGCUCGCGGCCUAUCAGCUUGUUGGUGGGGUGAGGGCCUACCAAGGCGGUGACGGGUAGCCGGCCUGCGAGGGUGGCCGGUCACACUGGGGCUGAGGCACGGCCACGCCUGCUACGGGAGGCAGCAGUGAGGAAUAUUGGACGAUGGGCGCGAGCCUGAUGCAGCGACGCCGCGUGAGGGAUGGAGGCCUUCGGGUUGUGAACCUCUUUCGCCAGUGAAGCAGGCCUGCCUCGUUUGUGGGUGGGUUGACGGUAGCUGGAUAAGAAGCGCCGGCUAACUACGUG
RNAcentral lists this ribosomal RNA (494 nucleotides) under uncultured bacterium. RNAcentral's name for it is "partial 16S ribosomal RNA". It matches the Rfam family "Bacterial small subunit ribosomal RNA", at positions 28 to 507 of the family's 1533-position model. The record is from RNAcentral.